This 12641-nucleotide unclassified non-coding RNA is filed under the name Leishmania donovani. RNAcentral's name for it is "gene:LdHU3.26.2800(CDS-product:hypothetical_prote in_conserved)". Lineage: Eukaryota; Euglenozoa; Kinetoplastea; Trypanosomatida; Trypanosomatidae. The record is from RNAcentral.
UUGGUGCAUGCCUGCUCUCGGGCCCCCUCUUACUCCUUCUCCUUGUUCUCUUCGCAGGCGACCUACAGCAGGGACGACAUACUCGUCUCGCCUGCAUCGCCCUUCAUACCUUCCUCUGAUUUUCCUUCCGUAGCAGCAUCACAGCCACACACGCCCACACACAGAGAUAGCACAAUGACUAUGCGCACGGCGUCUUCAACUACAUCCGGUAGCGACUUUUCUAACUCCUGUGAUGAGGGGAGCAUCCUGGAGGUCGAAGCCCUUGAAGAGCGCGCCGAGCUCGCGGACACAGGGAGGCACUUGCCUGCGCCAGCCCUCCGCGGCGGCGUCACGGUAGGAGGCGCCCGCCACAGCUCUGCGGCGGUGCUAAGCGGUGCUGCGGGCGCUCCUCUUGGUGAAGCCUUCGAUGGCCGCCGUCACUCCAGAGACCAGCGUCAAUUAUCUGCCCCUCAUCAGCAGCGGCUGCUUCCUGUGCCGCCUUCCCAGCGCCCCGAACGCGGCGAUGAUUUCAUGGGCACGGGCCGAGACGUCGGCUUCAACGACAGUUUCGACGGCUUUCCAUUAUAUGUGGACGAAGACGGUGUCAUGAAGGUGUCUGGACACCGCCGGCGCGACCCAUUUGCCUUUGGCUACGAUGCUGUUGAGGAGGCCGACUUGGCCACAGACGGCGCUCGCGGGGGCGGUGGUCGCAGAAACUCCUACCAUGGCGGCUCUGGCGCCGCGUUCGGCUCGUCUUCCGGCACGUCUGAUGGUGCGUUUGUGUCCGGCAGCUCCUCGUAUUCUUCCUCCCUUUACGAGGAGCACUACGAACCUUCCCAUCAACAGCGGGGCCGAGCCUCUGUCCAUGGGCACCGGCACAGCGCCGAUACGAAUGUGGCUGCCAGAUAUGGAUACACACCCCUUGAGAUGCACUACGCUGGCGGCGCUGGCGUUGUCGCAACGUACGAUGACGACGGCGCGCCGGUGCCCAUCGACGCGGCGCUGCCCAGCCACCACCACAUCGCGUCACGGCGUCGCCGCCUCGUUGGGGCUGCCUCCAGCGCGCAAGCACGGGUUCACAACGCAAAGCGGCGUCGCUCCAGUCGCAAGAAAGGCAAGCGCACUCGACGUCGUGGCACUCGCGGCGGGCAACUUGAAAGGAGGAACACCAACGCAACAGCCACCUCGCACUCACCCGCUGGCCGCCACGGAAGCCACAGUGGAGCGCACAGUUCAAGUCGCUUACCAACCCGUCUGUCAGGCAGCAGCCCCGUUCUGCUCGGCACGAAUCCGUUGCUGAACAUCGGCGGCGUGAAUGUUGCGGCGACCGCCAGUGCCGCUGCGGCCGCCGCUAUCCAUGGCGGCCUCAGCUCCCUUCUCUCCGCCGGUGCUUCGAUCAACGUCGGGCCCUCCGAGGCGGAGAAGGUGGUGCGAAUGCGCGAGCACCUGCUAGCGCGCGAGGCGGCGGUGAAGAAGCGAUAUUCAGCGGUUCGCCGCGGCUCUGCCGGGACCGCAAGCACUGGCGCGACUGUCGGCAGCGACAGAGGCGCAUGGAAGACAGCGGCGGCAGACACCUUGCGCGUGUUAGCCUCCUCUCGCACAGGUGACGGCGCUGGCAGGGCCGCAACUAGUAGCGGUGCCCUCGCCUCACAGCACACUCGCGGCGCGGAGCCAUUCAGCCCACUGUCGAUGUCUCUGAAGGACUUGAAUCGGAGCAUCGGGCUGAACACGGGAAAGGCGGGGCCGGGGUCAGCCUUUGCGUUGGCAACGCUACGCUCUGCCCGCUUGCGCUCCAAGGACGCCGCCACGCAACUGCAGGCGGUGACGACGACAGGGGAGUCCGUGUAUGUGCGAGAAGACCCCGCCUCUGCCGCUGCCGCAAGAGCGCGGGGUAGCGAUGGCAGGGGUAUUUCUGGCGACGACGGUGCACCCGGCGCGAUGCAUGGCACAGCACUUGCUGCGGGGACGGCAACACAUUUUGAACAGCGUAUGAUGACGCUGCGCGACCCCUACACGGGCCUCGCCAUCGCCUCAGCUUACACGCCACUGAUAACCAGGGCGGAGGCGGCGGUGGCAGUGCACACGUGCGCGGCUGGAAUUCAGUUCUUUCGAGAUCCGACGGCGCCUCGGCCAUCCGCAGUAGCGUUUCUGCCGUCGACUUCCUCGGCCUUGCCCGCUACACCCUCUCGGCUUUUGUCCACCGCCUACGUGCUGGAUGUUGGUAAUCCGCCGCUGGCACCUACGCCUGCAGGAAUCGCAACCGUGCCUGACGAAGGAUCGCUGCGUGCAUCCUUCGGUGCACCGUACACAUCGACAACUCCGCACACGACCAUAUCUGCAAAUCCCUCAACCACGUCGCUGUCGCCGCAAAAGCUGCAUAAUCGCGACGGCGUGGCGCGAGUGUACAAGGCGGCGACGGCGGCGGGUGACUCGGCUCAGGUGAGGCGGUGCCCGCCCACCGAGGCGGAUCGCUUUUGCGACGUGCGCCCUCGUCUCACCGCUCGUGACGAAAACGCUAACGCAGGGGCGCCGCCCACAGUGGCGAGCAGCGGAAAUGGUGGCGCGGCGUUGUCGGGUGUGAGCGGCCUCCGCGGCUCGGGCCAGUACACGGCGACGCCACUCAGUUCCGGUGACUGCGCGCGCUCCUGGUGGAGAUUGCAAAGCGGCGGGGCCGCUGCUGCCGGCGGCUACAGCAGUGCGGCAGCGCCUGCAGCAGCGGCAGAUAUUUCGGACAGCAGCGACCUUUUUCCGUGGCGUUGGCGCGGCAGAGCAUCUGCAUUCGAUAUGGGCGGCGGAGAGGUCCAAGACGGAGUCCCGAUCGCCGCUGCAUGGCAGGAUGAGGCGGUGCGCGGAUGUUACGGCGUAUGGCCCGCGGUUGUUCACAUGCGUGGAGCUGCCGACGAGUACGGCGUUAGCCUUCCCCCGGCCGGCACGUCGAGCAGCGCCUCCGCCGCCAUGCCGCCCUUCUUCGCAUGGCCGCACCCUGCACCGCAGCUGCCCGCGUACCCGCCCUCUAUCGCCCCCUACGCGGCACCGCUCCAUCCUCAACAAAACACCCGCUAUCAUGCCUGGACAGCUGAGGGCGUGUCGGCGACGUCGAACACCUCGUGCGUGGUGCACGUCUUCACUGUCUCGCGGGAGAUGCUGCGCAGCGUGUACGAGUACGUCGCGUACAUGUGUGUAGCGAAGCGACAUGCAGAGCUGCAGCGUCGGCGCAGAAUACGCGAAGAGCACCUUAGCAAAGAACUUGCCGCCGGUAGGCUGACGCGCGAUGCCCAGCGGUACCUGCGCUGCCCCCAUUGUGGUGUAGUCGGGAAGGUAGUAAGAAGCUCUGCCGCGCGAGGUGAAAGUGAGGCUAUGCCGUCAAACCCUUUGCUAUCUUCAACACCGGCCCAAUCGCAGCAUCUGCGUCACGACAGGAAGCACCACCAUCACCACCAUAACCCCCAUCAUUCAAGCGCGUCGCGCGAUCCCCCGCUGGUCUCGGCCACCAGCACACCACAGCCGUCGCUCUUUCUGCAAAGUAGUGCGCCAACAGCGAAUGGCUCCUUAGAGUUGCCGUUAGCACAGCAGCAGCACACGGAGAGGUUUGGAUGGUCGGCGGCGAAAUCGCCAUCGCCGCGGCCGACACCUCUGCCCCCGCAGCCGCCACGGCGCUCGGUUUUUGGGAUGGGUAGUGCGACCCAAGGCGGUAGCCGUGUCGCGGUCGAAAACACCAACGUUAAAGUUGACGAGUGCGCGAACGCGCAUCGCGCCGUGGUCGUCGACGAGGUAGGCGAUGCCUUAGCAACGCUCCCGGCGUCUGCGGUGCUACAGUCGCCAGCCACUGCACUAGUUUCGCGGGUGGCAUGCGCACCAUUGACGAGGGGUGGCAGUGGCACAUCCGGGCCGUCCCCAGCGCUCCCGUCCUUGCCGCAGUCUGCCUCGCUUCCGCCGCUGCGACUGCAGCCGCAGAAAAGGCUUCAAGAAGCGGAUCGCUCGUCACAGGAGUCGAACAACAUCUGGUCGACGUCGGCGCUUCAGCUGUCCAGCGUCGGGGCGGCGCUGCCGUUGUCUUCUCCGAGUCCGUCGCCACAGCAGCCACUUUUGACUCCUACUGUGGGCGCCAUGGCAGCACCGGCGCCUGCAAAGCUGCACACCUCUCCGCGUGUCCCCGGCACGAAAGGGGCGGCGCUGGCCGGGACCACCAACAGCAGCGACACCCGCGUCGAGGCGCUUCUAGACACGCUGGUAGUGAGCGGCGAGCUCUCGCAGUCUCUUCACAUGAAUUCGCAGUCGUACGAGGCAGGCGCGCAGGCGGCCUUUGAUCGAUACGCCGGCGCUUCAGGUAACGAGCUGCUUGCACUACGGCAGCAGCCACCGACCACCGUACUGGCACGCGGCGCACACGAGGCGCGCCUUCUCGACGAGUCCACCACAGCUCUGUCGCCUCGAAAAACUGCUGAGGAGCGCGGCCAUGCCACUAGUGGGGAUGCUGCCGUGCAACGGUCGUCUUCAUGUGCGGCGGUCGCGAACAGCAACAGCAACAGCCACAGCCUCCGCGUCGGCGGUAUCGACAGCGACGCCGAGGAUGGACGGCUGGGGCUGGCCGGCUCUGUGGCGCAUCACACGUCAGGAUCGACGGCCUCGCAUCCAUUCACCAUACCAACGGCCACCUCACCGGACCGCUCCAUGCUGAUGGUGCCCACAGGCACACGCGACACCACGGCUACGCACGAUACAACGGCAGCGCUGUGGGCGCUGGUGGCAUCUGCUGAUUCUUCCGCGCCAAAGUGUGCGCCUCCUACUGCGACGAGUGCGGCGGCCACCACCGCGGCCGCCGUCACGACGGCCCUCAACGCAGAAGUGAGGGUCAUGGGCAGCAGCUCGAGGAGCAACCCCAACCCCAACAACAUGAGCGGCACCAACUCGCUCUUAUGCCCGAUGGCGGGAUCAACCCUGACGCCGGCGGUGCCGACUCUGGCGCGCUCGCCGACGCCGCUGCAGAGCCAAGCAGGCGAAGACGAUGGGGAUAACCCUGCUGUAGCGCAGCGCUGGUUCGACACGAACGCUGACGAAACGGCACGAGACCACGAUCUCAGCGGCGGCGCGUCUUACGUGUGCCUCGGCUGCCACCGCGACGUGAUACCAAAACAGCCGUUGCUGACGUCGAUCAGCGACCAUAGCUCGUUGCACCGCCGUUCCCAGCACGCUCAUCACUCAGCUGCACGACACAGUAACCACAGGAACAACAACACCAACAGCGGUGGCGGUGAUGACAGCGUGGAAGACGAUAGGACCGAGCAGACUGUGGGUGCGGACAUCGGAGUAAUGGCGUUCGAAGACCUCCUGCAGGAUGACGCGUUCACGUAUGCGUUGCACAACGCCUUGUGCGAGCUGCUCAUGAUGCCGUCAACGCGAGAGCCACCACCGCCGUUGCCAACGGCGUCGCACAAGAGAAGUCGAAAAAGGUCACCAAGAACGUCGGCGGCGCGCGCGGACCUGAAUGGCUUCCUCCAUCCCGUUUUACCGAGUGCACCCGUGCACCAAACCGGCGCACUUCUGCAGCACUCGUCGGAGGAUACAGCUAUAGCGGUGACCGACGCCAAAGGUGAGGUGCGCAGAGUUGCUGCGAUGGAUGUGGGUGCCCUUUCGUGUCUCUCACCCGGUGUGCCGCAUCAGCAGUGCCUAGAGGCGAUGGGAGGCGGCGGCGCGGUCUCUUUCGAAAGUAUCGGCAGCUGGAUCGGUGACGACGAAAACGAGCUCACGCAGCAGCAACGCGAACCACCCACGUCCCCACUUUCCAUUUCAGCUGCACCGUCAUCUUCAUCCACGCCGUCCAUGUCAACGUCCUUAGAAAGCUCGUCGGCGGCAGCGGUCAGGGAGGGCGGCGGCUGCUCGGCCGCUUCUUCGCCCAUUCGCCUUUCGCUCGCGUGCUGCGGGCUGACAGUGAGUGUGCUGCCGUACGUGGAGCCGCAAGUGCCCUCUGCGGCGACGCAAGAACACUCCAGUGACAGCGGCAUCCAGCGCCGAGGAACAACGGAGAAGCGCCUGAUGCGGGCGAGGAAUGCAAUCAGGAAAACCAUCGGCAUCGCGCGCCUACCACGGCAACGCUUUGGCACACCGGCGCCGCUUUCUCGGCCAGUGAUCCCGCGCAUGCGCGAGGACGCGGCGACACGGGGGCUGACGCCAUCCACGAUGCUCAUGAGCGACGUUGCCGCCUCUCACCGCCGUUGCAGGCGCAGCUGCAGCAAGCAGCGGCAAGGGCCGCGCAUCCAUCGCGACACGCCACCGCGCCAGCGGCGGCGCAGCAGCUCGAGCACUGGAGCGCCAAGGCUCACUUCUAUGGAAAGUCCACCCAAUGGCCCCGUGAUGCACAGCGCGGCGGCGUCGAAGGCGCUCAUAAUGAAGGGCACGUUCAGCAGUGAGAAGCACCGCAUCCAAGUAAACCCACGCACCCCGCUGGACGCCGUGAGCAAAAAUCGUAUCAUGAAGCGCAUCUUCCGCCAAGACCGGCUUGGCAGCAGGAGCGACACCACGGCCGCCGCAGUCGCCCGCUCAUCGGAGACUGAGAAGCGCUAUGGCAAGGGCUUAGAUCCUGUUGCUGCUGCUGCUGCUGCUGCGGUGAACAGACGAGAUGGUGCUGGGUCUGCAGCAGGCGUAUCAGUCAGCGCGCGGGGCUCUGAUAUGCGCAAGCAGCGCUGCCUCCGCCACCACCGCCGUUCCUACACACAAGAGCUAGCCCAGCAGCAUGCUCAGCUGCUCUUGCCUCCUGGCCGUGUCCCCAAGCCACUCGGGCUCGAUCUAGGCGUGUAUGAAGACUCCAGCCUUGUACUCGAGAUCGAUCUCGCGUACCCGCGGCUGCCUCGCGGCAACGUGCGGGAGCUUCUUGCGGAGUGGAAGGACACCUGUCAACCUCACCCUGUUUUAGUGGAAGCGGUUAUCCGCAACAUCGUGUACGCUGUGCUGGUGCAGCUGUCUGCCCUGCACGCUGCCGGCCGUACGCACGGGAGUGUCAAGUCGACCAACGUUUUUCCGCUAUGGCAUGCCAUGGAGGGCACGCGAGAGUCGGGGCUCAUGAUGCCGCCGCGGCCACGCCAGCGCCCAACGUCCCCAUCCCCGCUCGCGGUGGCGCGCGUGAAAUCUGAGGCAGAAUCGAUGCAGGAACGCGGGAGGAAGGCGGAGGCAACGGUAAAGAAUGAAGAGGAAGGUGAGCGUCGGCGAAGCGCCUCCAAUGCUGAGGGCGUGGGCGCCUGUGAGCCGGGUGGUGCAUCGGCUGCUGCGCCGCCAGCGACAGAUCAAGCCGCACCAGUGCCACAGCGGUGUACCUCCGAAAAGUCCACCUCACCCACCAAUCCUCGCUCCCUCUCCAAUCGACGACGACAUCUGGCGCCACACACGGCGGUAGCGCAUCUCAGACUCUAUCAAAAGACGCGCUCCCGAAACCGCGGGGCACAGAGCAGAAUCAAUCCUGCUCACGGAUUUGGCGCGGCUCGUGGCACACCAAGUGCGGCAAAGGGCUCUGCAUCAGCAGCGCUGCCAGGAAGGUCUUGUGCUCCCACUGCAAACGCAUCCUCUACCGGGCUGUCGACCGUUAUGGCUGAUUACCGCCACAGCAGUUUCAGCGUCAGCACCGGCGGCAGCGCGCGCACCGACAGCAAGCAGGCUGACACCAGCACUGCUCCACACAUGCCUGUGGGCCUAUCGCCCCAGUCGUCCAUGCUGUCGUCCCCCUCCGCCGUCUUACCCUCAGAGCCCAUGCCCACUCCAACGCUGACCUCAGCAUGCAGUCCGUGUGCGGCGUUGCUGACCACAGACGCGAUCCAGCCCUACCACCCGAACAGCUGCAGCAGGAGCACCACCAUGUUCUCGCCUGCUAUUGGCAUGAUCUCCAACCCGCGUCUGCGCCGCGGCGGAGGUGCCGCGGCGCGGCUCAGACGCGGCAGCAUCGGGACCAACGUCGGCGGCAAGGACGACGCUUGUGACUUCAACGGCGAUGCAGAAGAUGAGGACGAUAGCGCACUCGUACCCCUCGUCGCUGAGGUUUUGACGCUGCCAUCUACUGUGCUGCGCGCCUCAGCGGUGGAACCCGGCACUGCUGAGCCGCAGACACAGCUGCAGAACGGCCUGUGGGGGACGUCGCCGAUGAGUGUGAUGCCGUCUUGCAGUUCCUUCGCAGCUAUACCGCGGCAUCGCGACUAUCGCUGCAGUCGUCGAAGCCGCCAAGGGCGCGGCUUGUGGCCAUCCGCAGUAGAGGAUCCGGAGGAGUGGCUUGCGUCCGCAGCCCCGCGGCGCUACGUACGUGGGGUGGAGCUGCGGCCUCCAGCGGCUGUGUGGUUUCCUCGAGUUGCCGUAGACGAAGCUGCGCUUGCAGACAAGAAGCCGAGUGCCGACCAUGGCGUAUCACUGUCGCCGGACGCUGCAACGGUGCUGGAGCGCACGCCCGAUGUCGCAGCACAGCUUGUGCUAACCCGAGGUCCAGUGGGAGCUGUGCCGCACCCGCAGCUCGACAGUGUUGGCAGAGACGAGACGAAUGCACCCGCGGCCGCAACUGCUCACCGGGAAAGGCGCCGGAGCAGUUCCGCGGGCCCUUCGACGUCCUCGUCUGCCGCGCUGCAUGGCGCCAGCGACGGAGCUGGCCAGUACGCGCCAGAUCCGCUGCAGUGGUCGCGCCAGGUACUGCUGGUAGAAAACCUUAGCGCAGUUGUCGCUGCCGCGUUGCGCACUGCCAUGACCUGCGUGCUCAUGCGGCAUCGACCGCGCCAACACCCAUCGCCGCUGUCGUCACCCCUCCCCCUUGCCACGUCGACGAAGACUCCUGUAUCGCACUCAGAGAAAGCGCGUCAUGCAUCAGACGCCCUUGCUGAUCCCGCCACCGCGGCUGCUAAGAGGCAGGGCCUUCGUCCAGCCGCUUGCUCCAAGUCGGCUGCUGCAGCGGCCACACAGCGACGCACGAGAGUCGCAGCGUCUACGCCGGUGCUGCGUGUGCAUGUACCGGAUGUGGUUCGCAGUCCUCCUCCUCUGCCGCCCAAUCUUUUUGCCAUCCAAGAGUCAGAAUACGUGCCAGCACCCGAGCUGAUUCGUUCCUCUGCCGAUGAAGCCCGCGCGCUACGGCGACUGUGGCCUCCGCACCCCAGCGGUGCAGCUGCGGCGGACAAGGUUGAGGGAGAGCAGGUUGCAGGGGAACACCCUGGCUUGUCUCAUAGCCACAUAGCAGCAGCUGCUGAUGCGGGGGCGGCGGGCGCGGCGCAGCUGCGCGAGGCCUUGGCACGGCUAGAGGCGGCCGCGUCACCAACGACGACGCUGCGCAACACCCUCGACCCUUACCCUGCCGUCAGCGCAGCGGCGGAUAUCUGGGAAUUGGGUAUGAUGGCGCUUGAGCUUGCCGACGGCCAGCCGCCGAUGACGUGGUUGAAACAGCGCGAGCCAGCGCCGGCGUUGCGCACCUAUCCAUGGUCUUCCUACUUCCACGCGUUUGUAUCACUGUGCCUGCAGCGCAGCCCAGAGCAGCGCGGCACAGCGGCAGAGUUGCUGCGGCACCCGUGGUUCAGCGUGGCCCUGGUGCCGCAAGCCUCCUUACCGUCGUUGCCAACGGCCAGUCGAAGCAACGGCGGCGGCUGGUGCCAAGGCACAGCCGGCAGCGGUUCAGCCGGCGCGCCGGCCGAAUCAAGGAACUCGGCGACAGGUUUUCAGGGUGUCAAGGCGGGGGGGCCCGCGCCGGUGAGCCCGACAACACUGCCGCUAUUGCCGGUGCGUCCGCCAGGUGUCAUGGGCGUCGGCUGCUUGACUGCGGAGGAGAAGGCAGAGUGGGAGAACUACGACUACACGCUGCUCUACGCGUCUGCUGCGCAGUCGACUCGCCCGCUCACGACGAGCACCGCUGCGGCUACUGCAGCUGUGACCACAGCUGCAGAGAACCACCACCCCAGUGGCGACUCCAGCGUGCGACUAGAAUGCCCAUUGGCGCAUGGGACACAGGGAGCCGCAACAUCUGCGUCAGCGGUUACCGCGGGGGCGCGCAACAGCCGGGAAGCAAGCGCUGCGGACGCCAUGAGCGUCGGUGAAACACCAUCGUUUCUGGGGCAGAGUCUGCGUAGAACCGACGCGCCUUCACCGUCGCCCGCCGCUGCCGCCGCCGCGGUAGCGUCGCAGUCUUCCGCUCUCACCGUUUCUAGCCCUGGUGGCUGCACCGCUGUUGGGCUACCACCGGCUGUCGCUGCAUCCGCCAUCUCCGCCAAGGCCUCCGCAAACGACGAGCUGAUGACAUCAAUGUGCGCGGUCGACCUUGCACAAAACUUUGCAGAGCUCAUCGCUCAGCGAUGGGUAACGCAGCAGCAGCUGGUCCCGUCGCUGGCCACGGCGGCCGGCGCGCACGACGGGGCUGCGAAGGGAAGGCAGGCGAUGCCACCGUCUCAGCGCAACUUCUUCACUGCCGCUGCUGCGGCGACGUCUUUGGUCGGUGUCAGCCCUGUCCUCCUUUCUGUUAUCUCCCCUCGGCCCACCACCGCCGGUGCCGCUGCGGCGGCAGCCGCCUACAACGCAGCGUCGCCCCGAUCCUCGCCGUCGACAGCUGGCCAAGGCGCGGUUUCGCAGCAGCAGUCGGAGCUGUUGCGCUCGAAGAUCAGCCCUGAUGAGAUGAUGGUGCCAAUGUGGGGAGGGCACAGCACGACGUUCAGCAACAACACCUCGCUGAGUGGCCAACUGGCGGCGGUCCCUGUCAUAUCCCCGCGCGGCGCUCCGUCGCCGUUGCCGCUGCCAUCACCGGAGUUCGUCGGCAGAGGAGCGGGGCGACUGCUGCCGGCCUACCUGCCUACACUUUAUGCCCCGCUGCGUGACCCGCGGGGUGAUCCAAUGCUGACAGCGGCGAAUGCCUGGGCACUUCCGUGGACGGCAAGAAUGAUGGACGAGUGGGGCGGUGCAGCAGGCAUUCAGUCGCAGUCGCAGCAGGCACGGCCUUCCGCAGCGCGCGAUGCCGCACUGCCGUGGUUUCAGCUAAGCGCGCGCGUCGCAGCAGGGAGCUCGCAGCCGCCCAUGUAUCCCACCCCUCAGGCGUUGUCGCGCAAGGAUGGCAGCGUCAGUGGAGGUGGAGACGGUCGCCCGGUCCUGCACUGUGACCGCGGCGAUUCCGAUGGCAACGCUAGCACAGGCAGUGGCCGUAGCAGCAACUCACAGUAUCACGGUCGACACGCGCGAACGGCGUCUGGUAGCUCGAGCCAAAGUAGUAGCUCCAGCAGCACACGAAGCGACAGCGACAACGACCGGACUGCCAGCGGCGGGCUGCAGGUCGUGCGCGGUGGUACUCACAUCUACGCCAGUGAAGGCAGAUUUUAUGACGUUUACAUGCCCAAAGUGGGUGGUGAAGUGCCGGUCCCGACGCGAAAGCCGGCGCAGCACUUCAAUGACACCCUCAACACGGCGUCGCUGCCUCUCACCGACGACGCAGCUAGCCGCAGCGUCACCUUCAAGGUCGGCACAUCGGAGCAGCGCGCUGGUGGUGGCGACAACAUGAUGCUGAACGACCCCGCGCCGGACGGCGGCGCGGCUGCCGUGAAGGAGGGCGUCUCCUCCUCUUGCGCGGCUGCGCGAAAGCUUCGAAUGCCAGGUGGUGAUGGGCACUGGCCUCGACAUGGGCGACACGGCGGUUCCACUGGUAGAGGUGAUGAUGAUGAUUACGGCCCAGUACCCCGAGUGCCCUCGCCUUCCUCCUCUCGUUCAGCGCAUCAUCUCAACGGCACCAUCGCCACCGCGCUGGCACGCUUGUCGAUGAUGGCGUACCUUCCUUCUGACACUGACGGGAACUGGAGUGAGACCAGCAGCAGCAGCGCAAUCCGCAGCAGCAGCGAUAACGAAAACAGCACCAGAUCCAGCGACGGGUCCGAUUCUGCUACUUUGUCUCCGAUGUGGGGACCGCCAGUGUGUCAGUCGACUCCGCUCGAGUCGGACGAUAAGGCUGCUUACAUGCAAGGCUUCGCCAUCAGCGGUGAUGGCACCAGCUGUGAGGAGCCGGACGAGGACGAUGAUGGGCCGUCGAUGAGCGCGGAGGUGCGGUGCGAUGAGCUGCUUCGCUGCUUGUCGGCGCUGCAGCGCAACUGCCCGGUGGCAGUAAGUCUGUGGUGCGUCCGUGUGCUGCAGCAGGCGAUGCGGCACCCCUGGACGGCCGCGAGCGCGGCGCGGGUCCUGGAGCGAAUCGAGAGUCUUCUGCCUGAGGGGCGGGUGAGAAACCUCGACUGGCUCAAGCGACCGGACAGCUCGCCGUCGCCGUCGCCGUCCUCGCCUGACCCUCUGGGCACAGGCGACGCGCAACGCCGCGAGAGAGCAGCUGGCACAGCAGGAGACGGCAGCUCCUCUCUCUCUGCGGUGGGGGCUGCCGCCAGAGCGUCGUCUCGCUCCUCUGCCGGUGCACUGCCUCCCGCGGAGCUGGACGCGAGCCCCAGCACCUUCCAGAAUUACGAGAUGGCAAAGUGGAUACAUGCGCUGCAUCAGGUGCUUCCACGAUGCACAUAGCCUCACGGAUAGCGGCGUCGGGUACACAAGCACCGACGCCCGCACCCAUGGGGAUAGGCAACGCGCUCCUCCCUCAACUAUUUGCUCUGUUCCGACUGCUUUUCUUCUGUACGCCCGCUGUACGCGCGUGCCGGGAGGGGGGACCCCCUGCGGGGAGGAGCAUCGGCAAGGGCAUCGAU